RNAcentral lists this long non-coding RNA (1020 nucleotides) under Homo sapiens (human). RNAcentral's name for it is "HSALNT0319281". The record is from RNAcentral. Lineage: Eukaryota; Metazoa; Chordata; Mammalia; Primates; Hominidae.
GCUGCCCCGCCUGCCGAGCAUGCGCAUGCCCAGCGCCUGCCCUGUGCGUCCCGGGAAGCCGGGCGGGAGCCUGCGGCUUCGGACGCCUACGACACGCUGUGCGUGGGGGCGCGGAGUGCGGGGGAUGUAGUUCCGGUUGGGAGGGGCGUGGCUGAGGACUGUGAAGCAAUCGGGGCGAGGCCGGGUGUCUGUUCAACUCUCCCGCGUAUCGUCUGUUUCUUCGGCGGCGGACAGUGUUCUGUAAUGUGUCUCCCGUUGCCCGAGCUAAAGGUUUUCCUCGACGGAGUCUUUAGAAUACCGUGGUAGAGGAAGGCAGUCUCCACACCACUGUGCUCGAACAGCUCUAUGAAGAGGCCUAUGUGGAGAGGAGAAAAAGCCUCCACCAACAGCCAGCACCAACUUGCCAGCCAUAUAUGAACUCUCGCUAUGUUGCCUCGGCUGGUCUCAAACUCCUGGGCUCAAGUGAUCCUCCCACUUCGGCCUCCCAAACUCAAAGCACCUGUCAUAAAAAUAUUAACUUGUAAUAAAAGUGUUUAGUAACACUAAUAUGUGAUGGCAAUUUCAGGAAAGUCAAUGUUCUGAGCAAGAAGAACAAGGAACAGAAGGUAUAAUGAUAACAGAUGAGAGAGGAAAAAGCAGACUCAAUCAACUCCUACUUUUCCAUCAUUUUUCCGUUACAGAGAAUUAUCCUCAAAUUAGAAGGAGUAGGACCUACAUGGUAAAGAAAAAAUUUACGUGCAAGGCAGAUGAGGAAGUAAGAGAGCAUCCAGCCCCUUCACACAACUUCAUUCUCUGUCUUACCGAAAGAAUGUGAAAUGUGGUGGUAGCUUUACUGGGGACAGGAGAGGUGCCAGAAGUUUGAAGAUGGACUAAUCUCCUUGUUUUCUAAAAGAAGAACCUAUAAGUCUCUGAGCACAUUUUUCUUUGGCAAAAUUCUGGAAUGGAUAAUUAGACAAAUGGUUUGUGAAUCUUUAGAAAAGUGGCAAAAACAAGGCACAGCAUAAAUUCACUAAAAAAUAA